UUGACACUGAAAAGUACUGACAUCGAAAAAAGACUUGCAUUGUAAAAAAAAACGCACUGAAAAAGGCUGACAUGAAGAAACAAAGAAAAUAUUGUCAUUGAAAAAGCACAUCAGAAUAAACAAAAAAAAACAUCAAAACGUCUUUUCAGUGCCCAAAGUUUUCAAUUCAAGUGUUUUAAUGCCAAAGUUCAAUUACUCAGUUUAGUUUUUUAUCAUGCUGAUUUUGUGCUUUUUCAGUGCCAAACCUAAAGUCUCUGUUUUAGCUCCAUAUCAACCCGGGUUCAAUUCAAUUUCUUUAACGCCUUUGUAUGUUGCGUUGAGAAAAGCUUCUGCUCAAUAUUCAAACUCCACUGUUAUGCUGAGGAUCUGCGUUGCGUUUGAUUCAACGCUGGUAAACAGGUGACAUACGGUCUUCAUCUGCAAGGUAACCAGGAGGUGCAGGUGGAUGAGAUGACAGUUGAUGAGCGAGGAGACUGGAUUGGGUGUUUGUUUAAUUCUCGGCCGGUGGGUGAAUGGAAGUUUGCAGUGGCUCAGAUCCAACCCAAUCGGAGGUCUCCUGGAGUGUGCUGUCAGAAAUCUGGCAGGCUUCCGCACACAGAGGAUACUCUCUUCAAAUCACCCAAUAGGAAAUGAGAGAUGUUGGCUUUGCCUUGACAGGCAGAUAUGCGUGUGGUGCAUAUUUGAUUGGACAUAUAGAAUCUGGAAACUGCCAUACAGCGGCUUGUUGCACGGGCUAAUGUGACAUCAAAGUAGGUUUGAUGGAGGUUGCAGUAGCUUUGGAAGAUGACUUGAGGUGAUUGAAAUAGCUUUGAUGUGUAAGGAAAUUUAUGGAAGCUUAGUCCUGGUAGAACUUUUUUAUAUAUUAAUGUGUGCUGUCAUGCAUUAAAACUACUCUCUGUCCAG
Clupea harengus (Atlantic herring) is the source of this 903-nucleotide long non-coding RNA. Lineage: Eukaryota; Metazoa; Chordata; Actinopteri; Clupeiformes; Clupeidae. The record is from Ensembl.